GCCCUCUUGUUUUUUAACAGUGGCUUACGUACCAGUCAACAGAUACCCGGGUUAGUAAAGUGCCAUCAGUGUGUCAUUCAGAGAGAUCCCAGAGAGGAAACUUCGACAGCCUCAGAGAUGAUUCUAUGGAGAUGGAGAAAAGACUUCUUUCAUUGAGGUGUGUGGCAGGGAGGAAAUAUUUUUCAACAUCGGCAAUGUUUGUCAGCUUUGAUCGGAUAGCUACUCUACAAUAGCUUUACAACAGUUAUCCUAUGAAAUGUCUGUAACUUGUUGAUAUGGCAAAGUUAAAUAUUCUGUAAAUCAAGAUGUUUUCCCGAGGAUAUUUUGUGGGAACAUUAUGAUAUAGAUGUCAGGUGUCUUCACUCCAUUGCAAUAUCUUUCUAAGGGGAGCCUCUAUAGUGUGAGAUACAAGCUCUGCAAGAUGGAACUAGAGAAGGUUUCGUGGCUAACCUGUAUUCAUCACCACCAGUUGCAAUUCAGAACCUUCAGCACCACUAAAGAGAUUGGUUUUAUCACCGGGUAUUUAUCAGACAAUGAUUGUACUGUUUUAAACCGGGAUCUCAAGACAUUUAUGUUACCGUAAAUAAGUCCUUACAAUCAUCCAAUUCUGCUGGGCUAUGUAGACACAGACUGAUGAAUGUACUAAGGUUUGGACCGUCAGCUGAAUAUAACUAGCUGGAUGCCAGCUUAACUGAGAAGUAACUAAGCUUGCAGACCAGCAGCGGUACAUAACUAUUUGCAUACCACCUUAACCAAAUGGGAACGUUUCGUCUAGCAUCAAUACCCCUUACUAGAAUGACUUGAUACUAAUGCAGAUGUAACCUGUGACCAUUCCUCAUCUUCAGACAUCACCUGACCUCAGUUUGAUUUUGACCUUGACCUCGUUUUGGAGGUUGCUUUAUAUCAACGUGGAUACCACCCGGGGCAUCAAGCGUUUAUUGAACGCAGCUCCUUGUUGUUUAUGAGAAUGUUUGUGUUUUUAAAUUUGAACCUAAGGUGAAAGCAAUCAGAUAUAUGAUGUGCACAAAUUGUCAAUUUUUUUUACCUCACAUUAGUACAAAGUGGACAAUAUGAACGCAAAACAGCUUGUCUGAUAACACAUGUUGAAUGUACAAAUUAUACAUGUCAUGUCAUAUGUCUUUCACUCUGUCAGUUCAUAUACUGCUAUUCGUUUGUUCAUGACUAUCAAUACGCAGGGGAAUCAGAUUCAGUAUGCUGUACAGUACAUAAAAUGCCUUUCACAUAUUUCAUUUUGUACAUACAUAGACAAUACAUUUUAAUUGAUAUGUAAGUAUACUGUCUAUAUGUAGCAUUUUCAUUGUCACUUAAUUGAUGCCUAGCAUUUCAUUACAAUACUCAGGGAAUACACAUUGUUCAUAUUAUCAUAUACCUGUUUUGAAUGAUAGUACAGCUUUAGGUUUGGAGAAAACAAGAAAUAACAGAAUUGUAAAUAUGUGUUCCUCCUUUAGCCAGUUAUUUAUUAUUUAGUUAUACAUUUAUUUAUAUAUUUAUUUCUAUACUAAAAUUUGAAUAUGUUUCCCAUAUUGUUUUUUACAUAGACAUACAUUUUUAAGUUGAAUUUACAUGUAAAUAGGUUUUUGAUAGAUGUAUAUAUCUUGUGUUUGGUUAAGAUAGUAAGGAUAUACAGUUUGCUGUGUUAUUAUUUAGCAGACUGCAUUGUAAAUGAGAUAGUUUUAUACUUACCUUAUCGACAUGAUUUUUGAAUAAAAUAUUACACAGGUGUAUUUUAACUUUGUGUACAUAAUGGUAAAUUUUCUGCAGAUGUUUGUCACCAUUCAGAUGUAGUAACAAGGGACAUAAAAUUUAAAAUACUAAACUUUUUUUUGUCUUUCAAAUAAAGUUGAGAUUCUUGUUAGGGAUUGCAUUAUGAAAAGCUUUACAAAUUUCCUUUGAUCUCCACAUCCUAGAAAUGUUUAAAAGUUUUACAUUGCUUAAAGGGAAUUCCUAUAGAUUUUAAUGCGCAUCUUUCUGCGCAGCCGGCACUUUCUAUGGAAAACUGAACUGAAGUCAACAUUUGUUGAAACAUGUUACAGACAAUCUUAAAUAUCAGGAAUCUUGAAUGAAAUAAUAUUUUUGAUAAGUUAUAUCAGUAAUCAAAUGUUGAUACUGGUUUAUGUUGUAUUGACAAGUAUCAUGCCUGACAGGUAUCUUGCUAUUUUUGUGGUUGUGUUUUCACAUCGCAUUUUAGUAGAAAGACAGUGUUGUUCAUAUAAUGUAAGAUAAUUGACUUAGUACUGAUAAGACAAUAUCACCUUUCAGAUUAUUUAGUAUGCAAUUAUAGAAAGAAUUAAAAAAAUUUAAAACUUUUUUAAAACUUUUAGCAGACAUACAUGUAAUCAAUUUGGGCAGGUUCGCGCUAUUUCCGUCCGAACAGGUGUUUGUAUUCUAGCGGUCUUAACAUAAAGUUUAGCCUGGUGACCCAUACAUUUUUAGCCAUUUUUAUGCUCACAAUACAAUUAUCUAUACACAAGAAAAAAAGGAAAAAAAUCUAUGAAAGUUUUUUCAAGAUUUAAAAAAAUAUUCUUCACUAUGGGUAUUUUUCAUUGAAAAAGGUUCACAAAAGUAAAUAUGAAACAAUUUUUUUUUUCAUUUGUACCCAUCAUUGUAAGGAUAGAGUAUUACAAAUAUGACUAUGAUAUCAAGUAAGUAUAUGAUAGAAUCUGUAAUAAGAAAAAAACCGUAUUGUGCUGCCUGGAUGUAUAUUUUGGUUGGUAUUUAUGAAAAAGCAGAAAAUUAUGAAAAUGUUCAAAAAUCGCUGGCAGUUUCAGCAAAGUGAAAGCAAUUUUUCACAAAAACAAGCCUGGUGACCUAUUAUUUUUAUUUGUUCAUUGUUUUCAGCACACAUUUUCCUAUCAUAUAUAUGAAUUUAAAAAAAUUCUAUGAAAGGAAAAAAAUUAUAGGAAUUCUCUUUAAAAGGUGGUCAAUCACAUUUAAACAACAUUUAAUGACAUUUUUUACUUUUUGUAUAUUCUGGUAGAGAAUUAUUUAAGGAACAAAAAGACCGAUUACAUAGAGUUAGAUUACUAUUUGAAAUGUAUAUUUUAUUAUUUUUAUAAAAUUUUGUAAUUACUCCCCUUUAAUAUGAAAGUAUAUAAAAAGCAGGGUAUUUCUUUUUAUUUCGAUACAAUGUCUAGUUUUACAUUUGCAUUUGAUAGACAUAUCACCUAUUGAACAAUCUGAACCAAAAAGCAAGUUUUAAAGCUGUGUGUAGCUUCUGAAUUCAUUUAUUUCCAAUCUAUCUUGGUUGCGCAACCAAGAUAGGCAAAGGGAGGUAAUAAUAAUUUUUCAAACUUGAGUUUCUAAUGAAUUCCAUCUAAAUACAUAAUUUUUAAUGCAAAUAUUUUACAAAUAUAUUACAAUAUGUCUAAUAUUUAUACAUUUCCUUAGGCAAAGUAUGUUUAUCAAAUUUAUGCUUAUGAUAAAAUAACUCUAUCUUGGUUGGGCAACCAGGAUAGGAAAAUGAAAUUUUAAAAAUACCUCCAGUGAAAAUCUAAUUUGUAUUAAGUGUUAAGUGAACAUAAAUGAGUGUAAAUGAUCAGAUGCUAAAGUUUCGAACAAAUCCAUUACAUGGCCAAAAUCUGAUUAUCCACCUUUAAAAGAUUAAAAUUAUUACAUGAUAAUUUUAAAGUGUUGUACAGUGCAUUUAUCUUAUGAAAAGGCUAUACAAUGUUUUAGUUUGUUCAGCAUUGAAUGAGUUAAAAACAAGAACAUCAAUGUUAAUCAUUUGGAAUGCAGAAGUAAAAAUUAUACGAAAACAACUAAUUAUAGAGAACUUGCAAAUUAAAGUUGUUUAUUGUAAAUAAAACCGGAUCUGCUUUGUUGCGGUCUGUGCUUCCAAAGCGUCUUUUCACGGAUUGUACUUUUUUGGGGUGGGUGGGGGAGUGGGGAGUUUGAUAAUGGCUUUUAAAGUGAGAGAUGAUUUGUGUAUACAUAUUCUCCUGAUAUGAUACUCUCUGAUAAUUUUUCAUCAUACUGCUUUUAUAUCCGAUAUAUAUUCCGUAUUGCACAGUCAGGCUAUAAUAUACAACAUUAAUUUCUCCUCUCUGCUAUUUAUAUGAUGAAUUAGUUGUUAUAGAUUUUAAUUUCUAUCAAAAAAUUAUACUAUUCUUUUGAUUUUGGAAAUUAUUUGUUUUUGUUCAGAAAUGCAUUUUUAUUUGUAAUAUAACUUGUUUUAACCUUGUGUUUCAGCAGCAUCGUUUGUAAUUCACUUGUACAUAGUUUGUAUAUAACAUGUGUCUUUCAUGCUAGAAUGUAUAGUAAGUUGUAAGUGCUACAUGUGGGGCCUCUAUAGACGAGUGGUUAAGGAUACCGACUGUGGGACACUUGCCUCUCACUUCCAGUGGUUUGAAACGGAAGGUCAAUGGUUCUACCCAGAUAAGAAGCCCAUGCCUGAAAAUGACAGUAGGGCACUUGGAGUCUGCCCCACAACCGAAAGCUGAGAAGUUGUUAUAUGACAUGUUUAUGUCAGUUAGACCUUGAACAUAAUAAAAUGAUAACACAAUGUCAUACUCUCUUAAUUUAAAGCUACUUUCCAUAGAAUCACAAGCAAUCUUAUCAUUUGUCUAUUAUAAUUUUUUUCUUUAUGGUUUCAGACUAUACAGAUAGCAAUUAUUUUAUCUAAAUUCCAUUUUGUUACUUUAAAAUCGCUUAUUUUCCUCGGGGUACCGAAACCUAUUUUUAGCUCACCUGUCACAUAGUGAAAAGGUGAGCUUUUGUGAUCACCCUCCGUCUGUGCGUCCGUCCGUCCGUCAACAAUUUCUUGUCUGCACGAUAGUGGUUUCAUUUAUGAUUUUAGUUUAACCAAACUUGCACACAACUUGUAUCACCAUAAGAUCUUGGUUCCUUUCUUGAACUGGCCAGAUCCCAUUAUGGGUUCCAGAGUUUUGGCCCCUGAAAGGGCCAAAAUUAGCUAUUUUGACCUUGUCUGCACAAUAGCAGCUAUAUUUAUAAUUUGAUUUUUACCAAACUCGCACACAACUUGUAUCACCAUAAGAUCUUAGUUCCUUUCUUGAACUGGCCAGAUUCCGUCAUGGGUUCCAGAUUUAUGGCCCCUGAAAGGGCCAGAAUUAGCUAUUUUAACCUUGUCUGCACAAUAGCAGCUUCAUUUAUGAUUUUAUUUUAACCAAACUUGCACACAACUUGUAUCACCAUAAGAUUGUUUCCUUUCUUGAACUGGCCAGAUUCCUUUAUGGGUUCCAGAGUUAUGACCCCUGAAAGGGCCAGAAUUAGCUAUUUUGACCUUGUCUGCACAAUAGCAGCUUCAUUUAUGAUUUGAAUUUAAUCAAACUUGCACAAAACUUGUGUCACCAUAAGAUCUUGGUUCCUUUCUUGAACUGGCCAUUAGUUGGACUGAGACAAUCAGGGUAGAUAACUAUGGACUGAUUUUAUGUCAAAUUACCUCCCUUUAUUUCAAAUUAAAUUGGGUAUAUCUCCGUAACUAAUGGAGAUACUGAUCUGAAAUUUCAUUUAUGUCAACAGAUGGACUUGGACAAUCAGUGAAGAUACAUAUUGACUGAAUUUAUGGCAAAUUACCUCCUUUAUUAUUUAUCAAAAUGAAUACACCUUAGCAGCUUCUAAUGAGAUUGGUUUGAAACGAUCAUAUCAUUUUGAGCAAUGGUACUCAGGUGAGCGACACAGGGCCAUCAUGACCCUCUUUAGAAUGUGAAAUUGAAAGAAGACUAUGAUAAUCAAAAGAGCGCACACUUAGCUGGCAAACAGUAACAAAAUGGCUGCCCUAGCGCACAGUAAGGUUUCUGGGUAAAGAAAUUCGAUACUUACUGGCCUUAUAUGCAAUGUAAAUGUUCGUUUGGGGUAUAUUCAACAGCUUAAAGACAAACUGUCAGGGAAUGUGACACAAUUUAUUAUACAUGAAUUUAAACGUGAUGUUAACUUCUUUUAAAUGCAUGUAGGGCAACGCGCAUACUUUGAGAAUGAAUAGGGUGUAUCAAUCAAUUUUUUAUGUAGCUGUCAAGGGAGAAACGACGUUAGUGAACAUAAUGAAGAGCAAACAAUUACUAUGCCAGGGAAUAUGACACCACUUACUAUAUUCCAUUUUAAAGUUAUUUAUAUUGUCUUUUAAAUGCUUGAACAUGUAGUGUUCUUUCUUGGGGAAAGUACUUCUAACGGCAUUCUCAUAGAAGUCAUUAGGUAGAAGAUUGAAUGAACUACCUAAAUCAAACCAGAGAUAAAAACCUGGGUCAUAAUAAAUGAAAGACAGUAAAUAUCUUUAAAUAUCUGUAAACUGAUGUGUGAUGAAUUCUAUUAUAUAUUCCUUGAAAAGGGACCUGUACCGCACAUUUUUAAGCUCCAUCGACCAAUAAACUUUAGUGUUUGCAAACGCUGAUACUGCUGUUUCUGUUACUGUUGGCCAAAAAGUGGUUAUCUUAUAACUGUUAAGUGUCGUCGACCACACUUAGUAGUUUACCAUUGAAAUCUUUGAAAGUACGCCGAAUUUAACAAUUAUCAAUGUUUCACUAUUGAAACCAGAAUUAUUAGACCACGUACAAGUAGAACUUUUUUUUUUUUCUAUAACGAAAGUUAAUAAGAGUGUGGAAAGCAGCUUUAAUUGAAUCCUUCUGCCAAGUAAACCAUUUCAAAAGAAUUCGGAUUUUUUCACUUGUCAAACUUGUAAAUAUGUAUACAAAAAUUAUAUUUUUCGCUGCGAUUGUGAAUGUGAAUGGGCAGCAGUGUUUAAAGUUUUGUUUUAAUGUGUUAUUUAUGUACAUUUAAGUGUUUGUCUAACACUGAAGUAACAGACUGUGUUAAAGUUCAGUCUUCAGAAUAGUGUAGUAAAAUAGGUUAAAAUUAGGGAGCUAUAUAAGCAAUUUAGUUACUGUCUGUUCUCUCUUUAUAAAUAAAUAUUUAUAAUUAUUUCUGUUUGUAAAAAAAUUUAUUCAGCUAAGCUUUGAUGUUAAAAUUGUGUAUUAAUUUUGUCUUAAUUUAAACAAUAAUUAUGUUUGAAAUGUAAAUUCUACAUGUAGAAUUUGUGAAAUGAACUAUACCCAAUUAAGUCAAAGAGCAUGAGAAGGGAAACAACCACUGGAGUAGAAUGUAACCUUACAAUUUUUCCAAAGGAAAAUCUCAAAGUCAUAUAUUUUCUGUCCAGUGAGCUAAAUUACAGACAUAUCAAUUUUUACACAGCACGAGCCUCUCUAAAUUAGAUUUCAUUCACAAUAAAAGAUACAGUACUAUCGCUGUUCAAGUUAAGAAUGAUGUAUUUCAUUAAAUGAUACCUGUAUGCUCUUGUGUAACAUCCUUUCUAAGGAAACUAGUCAAAAUAAGAUGACUGCUUCCCAAUGGAGAAACAAGCUACUUUAUUUAGUAUCAAGUUUCCAGUUCUGCAAGUAGGGAAAAGCCAUAAAUUGAUAUCCGAAACGGGAGGUUUUCCUACUGCAUUAGAAAGAUAUAGAAUUAAAGUUAAAAUUAAGUAGAAAUAUUAGAUUUGGAAAUGAAAUAAACAGAACUCUUUAUAGCCAGUUUAGUUCUGCUCAUGUGGGAUCUUUGGCAAAGGUUUGACUGUACAUAAUUAUUUCAUUUAUGAUAAGUUAUUCAUAUUUUAAUGGUGUGUUUUCUUAACAAUUCAUCAACAUAUUUCAACCAUCGUAUCAGAGAUAAACUAUUUCUAGGCAAUAUGUUGAUGUAUUGUUUAAAGUUUCACGUAAAUCUGCGAACAAAUGGUAAAUUAUAGAUCCGUUGUUUUCAUGUUUAAGCGCUUGUAUUUGUCUUUGACAUGUUUUAUUGUAGAUUUAGGUUCCAGGCAAUAUGUUGAAGCAUUGUUUAAAGUUUCACGUAAAUCUGCGAACAAAUGGUAAAUUAUAGAUCCGUUGUUUUCAUGUUUAAGCGCCUGUAUUUGUCUUUGACAUGUUUUAUUGUAGAUUGAGGUAUUUAUUAAAAUGAUAACAGUGUGAUAGUUGAUCGAACAUGAUAUAUAUUUUAAUGACCUUGCUUAUAUCAGUUCAUUUUUAGCUCGACUGUACGAAGUAUAAGGAGAGCUAUCCUACUCGCCCCGGCGUCGGCGUCGGCGUCUUUCCGCGUCCCCACCUUGGUUAAAGUUUUGGUGCACUUUCUCUUUUUUCAACUUAUCUCUGUAAUUACUUGAUGGAUUUGAUUCAAACUUGAAAUACUUAUUCCUCAUCAUCAUCCACAUCAUCUGACAUAAGGGCCAUAACUCUGGCACCAAUAUUUCAUGAAUUAUCCCCCCUUUUCACUUAGAUUUUCAGGUUAAAGUUUUGAUGCACUUUUACUCUAUCUCUGUUAUUACUGAAUGGAUUUGAUUCAAACUUGAAAUAGUUGUUCAACAUCAUCACCCACAUCAUAUGACACAAGGUGCAUAACUCUGGCACCAUUUUUUCAUGAAUUAUUCCCCCUUUUUACUUAGAAUUUCAGGUUAAAGUUUUGGUGCACUUUCACUCUACCUCUGUUAUUACUGAAUGGAUUUGAUUCAAACUUAAAAUAGUUGUUCAGCAUCAUCACCCACAUCAUAUGACACAAGAUGCAUAACUCUGGCACAAUAUUUCAUGAAUUAUUCCCCUUUUUACUUAGAAUUUCAGGUUAAAGUUUUAUGCACUUUCACUCUAUCUCUGUUAUUACUGAAUGGAUCUGAUUCAGACUUAGGCAAUUGUUCAGCAUCAUUACCCUUAUCAUAUGACACAAGGUGCAUAACUCUGGGACCAAUUUUUCAUGAAUUAUUUCCCCUUUUUACUUAGAAUUUUAGGUUAAAGUUUUGAUGCACUUUCACUCUGUCUAUGUUAUUACUGAAUGGAUUUGAUUCAAACUUAGGCAAUUGUUCAACAUCAUUACCCACACCAUAUGACGCAAGGUGCAUAACUCUGGCACCAAUUUUUCAUUAAUUAUUCCCCCUUUUACUUAUUCCUCAUCAUCAUCCACAUCAUCUGACAUAAGGGCCAUAACUCUGGCACCAAUAUUUCAUGAAUUAUCCCCCUUUUUCACUUAGAUUUUCAGGUUAAAGUUUUGAUGCACUUUUACUCUAUCUCUGUUAUUACUGAAUGGAUUUGAUUCAAACUUAAAAUAGUUGUUCAACAUCAUCACCCACAUCAUAUGACACAAGGUGCAUAACUCUGGCACCAUUUUUUCAUGAAAUAUUCCCCCUUUUUACUUAGAAUUUUAAGUUAAAGUUUUGAUGCACUUUCACUCUGUCUCUGUUAUUAUUUGAUUCAAAUAUAAAAUAGUUGUUCAACAUCAUCACCCACACUAUAUGACACAAGCUGCAUAACUCUGGCACCAAUAUUUAAUGAAUUAUGCUCCUUUUUGCUUAGGACAUACUUAUAUAGUGUUGUGAUACAUUUUCUCUUUACCUCUAUUAUUACUUAAGUUGAUAUUUUUGACAUAGACUCAGGCUAUUGUGCAAUAUCUUCAUCCACAAUUGGAGUCAUUAAACACUCCAUUGACGGCUCUAGUUUCCUCAGAUGUGCCCAGUUUCACUAUCCAGCAUCGAAAUAGUCGAGCGCGCUGUCUCCUGUGACAGCUCUUGUUAAUAUAUCAUCGGUAUCGCCAGUAUAAAACUGCAAAAAAAGUAAUUGAAGGAGAGAAAGCUUUUAUAUAGUUUAGGGGUACUUAUCUGAACCACAGUCCUUCAGGUUUCUCUUAAACUUCUUUACUCAUAUAAUAAAUCAGGCCAUUUUAGUACUCAGUAAGUUAUUAAGCAACACUUCCGGGCUAGUCAGAUACUGGAGGACAGAAACAAUCCCCAUAUUUUUAGCUCACCUGAGCAGGAAGUGCUCAAGGUGAGCUUUUGUGAUCACCCUGUGUCCGUUGUCUGUCGUCAGUCGUCCGUCGUCUGUCCAUCGUCAACAAUUUGACUGUUAACACUCUAGAGGUCACAAUUUUGGCCUUAUCUUAAUGAAACUUAGUCAGAAUGUUACCCUCAUAAAAAUCAUGGACGACUUCGAUAUUGGGUCAUCUGGGGUCAAAAACUAGGUCACCAGGUCAAAUCAAAGGAAAAGCUUGUUAACACUCUAGAGGUCACAAUUUUGGCUCAAUCUUAAUGAAACUUGGUCAGAAUGUUACCCUUAUUAAAAUCUUGGACAAGUUUGAUAUUGGGUCAUCUGGGGUCAAAAACUAGGUCACCAGGUCAAAUCAAAGGAAAAGCUUGUUAACACUCUAGAGGUCACAAUUUUUGCCCAAUCUUAAUGAAACUUGGUCAGAAUGUUACCCUCAAUAAAAUCUUGGAUGAGUUUGAUAUUGGGUUAUCUGGGGUCAAAAACUAGGUCACCAGGUCAAAUCAAAGGAAAAGCUUGUUAACACUCUAGAGGUCACAAUUUUUGCCCAAUCUUAAUGAAACUUGGCCAGAAUGUUACCUUUAAUAAAAUCUUAGAUGAGUUCGAUAUUGGGUCAUCUGGGGUCAAAAACUAGGUCACCAGGUCAAAUCAAAGGAAAAGCUUGUUAACACUGUAGAGGCCACAUUUAUAACUGUAUCUUCAUGAAUCUUGGUCAGAAUGUUACUCAUGAUGAUUUCAAAGUCCAGUUUGAAUCUAGGUCAUGUAGGGUCAAAAACUAGGUCACCAGGUCAAAUCAAAGGAAAAGCUAGUUAACACUCUAGAGGCCACAUUUAUGACCAUAUCUUAAUGAAACUUAGUCAGAAUUUUUAUCUUGAUGAUCUAUAGGUCAUGUUCGAAUCUGGGUCAGAUGGGGUCAAAAACUAGGUCACCGGGUCAAAUCAAAGGAAAAGCUUGUUAACACUAUAUAGGCCACAUUUAUGACUGUAUCUUUAUGAAACUUAGUCAGAGUGUUAAUCUUGAUGAUCUUUAGGUCAAGUUCGAAUCUGGGUCAUGUGGGGUCAAAAACUAGGUCAACGGGUCAAAUCAAAGGAAAAGCUUGUUAACACUGUAGAGGCCACAUUUAUGACUAUAUCUUCAUGAAACUUGGUCAGAAUGUUACUCAUGAUGAUCUUAAAGUCCAGUUUGAAUAUGGGUCAUGUAGGGUCAAAAACUAGGUCACCAUGUCAAAUCAAAGGAAAAGCUAGUUAACACUCUAGAGGCCACAUUUAUGACCACAUCUUAAUGAAACUUAGUCAGAAUUUUUAUCUUGAUGAUCUAUAGGUCAUGUUCGAAUCUGGGUCAGAUGGGGUCAAAAACUAGGUCACCAGGUCAAAUCAAAGGAAAAGCUUGUUAACACUGUAGAGGCCACAUUUAUAAUUGUAUCUUCAUGAAUCUUGGUCAGAAUGUUAUUCAUGAUGAUUUCAAAGUCCAGUUUGAAUCUAGGUCAUGUAGGGUCAAAAACUAGGUCACCAGGUCAAAUCAAAGGAAAAGCUAGUUAACACUCUAGAGGCCACAUUUAUGACCAUAUCUUAAUGAAACUUAGUCAGAAUUUUUAUCUUGAUGAUCUAUAGGUCAUGUUCGAAUCUGGGUCAGAUGGAGUCAAAAACUAGGUCACCGGGUCAAAUCAAAGAUAAAGCUUUUUAACACUCUAGAGGCCACAUUUAUGACUGUAUCUUUAUGAAACUUAGUCAGAAUGUUAAUCUUGAUGAUCUUUAGGUCAAGUUCGAAUCUGGGUCAUGUGGGGUCAAAAACUAGGUCACCGGGUCAAAUCAAAGGAAAAGCUUGUUAACACUGUAGAGGCCACAUUUAUGACUGUAUCUUCAUGAAACUUGGUCAGAAUGUUACUCAUGAUGAUCUUAAAGUCCAGUUUGAAUAUGGGUCAUGUAGGGUCAAAAACUAGGUCACCAUGUCAAAUCAAAGGAAAAGCUAGUUAACACUCUAGAGGCCACAUUUAUGACCACAUCUUAAUGAAACUUGGUCAGAAUAUUAAUCUUGAUGAUCUAUAGGUCAUGUUCAAAUCUGGGUCAGGUAGGGUCAAAAACUAGGUUACUGGGUCAAAUCAAAGGAAAAGCUUUUUAACACUCUAGAGGUCACAUUUAUGACUGUAUCUUUAUGAAACUUAGUCAGAAUGUUAAUCUUCAUGAUCUUUAAGUCAAGUUCGAAUCUGGGUCAUGUGAGGUCAAAAACUAGGUCACCGGGUCAAAUCAAAGGAAAAGUUAGUUAACACUUUAGAGGCCACAUUUAUGACCAUAUCUUAAUGAAACUAUCUUGAUGAUCUUUAGGUCAAUAGGUCAGGUGAGCGAUACAGGGCCUUCAUGGCCCUCUUGUACCAGUUAAAGUGGCAUUUUCAUGUUUUAGCCAGUUCCUGUUUCUAUUGUGGUUCUAUACUUGACAUUUUGGUUGCAUUUUCAAGGAACUGUUUGGUAUUUAUUGAAAUGUAAAUAAACCUUAUUACUCAUGUGUUUAUACCCACAUUGUAGCUGUCAGUUUGGAAGAUACUCAAUCAGUUAAACUGUCAGGAAAAAAACUCUCUUAGAAGAUAUUUGACCCGUACAUCUUUUUUGUGAUUUUUGGCGGUUUAUAGGUCAUUUAAGAACAAAAGGCUAGUGAUCCUUUUUUAAAUGGGUCUUGCUAUGUGUUACAGCUAUCAGAAGAUUGUUGAUAAGAACGUAAAUUAAAUUUCUUUACUACAGUACAACUUCUCCAGAGCGGCCCUCUCUUAAGCAAAAACCUCUAUAACAACAUCAUCAAAAUUUCCCAAAGGAGAAAUACUAUCAAAUUUACCUCUCCAGAACAACAACCUUUACAUAACAGUCGGGGGCCUCCGUGGCCAAGUGGUUAAGGUCGCUGACUUCAAAUCACUUGCCCCUCAUCGAUGUGGGUUCGAGCCUUACUCGGGGCGUUGAAUUCUUCAUGUUAGGAAGCCAUCCAGCUGGCUGACUGAAAGUCGGUGGUUCAACCCAGGUGCCCGCUCGUGAUGAAAUAAUGCACGGAGGGGCACCUGGGGUCUUCCUCCACCAUUAAAGCUGUAAAGUCGCCAUAUGACCUAUCAUGUGUCGGUGCGACGUUAAAUAAAAAAAAAAUUGCAUAACGUCAAUAUUUGUAUCUCCCAAAGGAUGUUGCUCUACAGAAGUUGCAUUGUACUGUGCAGCCUAAAUGGAUUUCCCGUCAUUUGAUCACAUGCUCAAUUUUAUUGUUUUUAUUGAAUAGUUGGAAACAAAGAUGCAGAAACACUAUUUACUUCUAUAAAAAUCUCAGUUUGACCCGGAAAGUUAAAACUUAACAGGAUGAUUGGAAAUGCACCGCAACUGAGGCCUAUUGAUGUUUAGGUUCACUUGGUCAAAAUUCUAGGUAACAGGGGCAUGAAUUCGUCAGAUAUUAUACCCGAUCAACUCGAGAACGUAGAACGAAUUCAUAGGGUGAUAGGGCUUAUAGAGUAGAUAACCCCCUAUAUUGUUUUUGGGGUCAUUCUAUCAAAGGUAACAGGGACCUGGGCAUGGAAAACUCUUUCAAUAAUCAAUAACUGGAGAACCACUUGACUCAAAAUGUUGAAACUUUAUAAGAUGACUGAACUUGCACAGCAAAUUACCCUUAUUGUUUUUGAGGUUACUUCAUUAAAGGUCAAAGUCAAAGGGGCCAGAAUAUGGAAAACCGUUUCCGAUCAAUAUUUUGAGAACCACAUGACCCUGAGCGUAGAAACUUCAUAGGAUGAUUGGACAUGCACAGCGAAAUGACGCCUAUUGAUUUUGGGGUCACUCAUGCAAAAGCGAAAAACGUUCGGUAAUUUUGAUCUAUAGAUAUUGAACAAGUGGUUACAUUCCUUCGAUAUUCAAUAUCUCAGAUGAAGUUCUGGUUUAGAUUACAAAAUUAUUCUAUUUGGAGGGUGUUUUUUAAAAAGUAUGUCAGUCGUCACGUGAAUGCUAAAAUGUGUAUAUGCAUCAGAAGUGUGCAAUGUGAAUAAAUUAAACAAUACAAAUGUGUACCAAUGUAUGACUUCAAAUUCAGAACCACUUCUAAGAAGAAUAUCAUUCAUCAUUUCGAGUUUUAUUGUAUAACUGUGAAUAGUAUAUAUUUUGUUUUUGUCUGUUUACAUUUCGCACACUGCUCUGCCCUGUAAACCAGAUAUUCAUAAAUGGGAAGUUCAACGUUGAAGAAAGCAUAAAAUAUGUGGAAUACCUCAGCAAUAUGAAAUUUUGCGACAAUGUGACUGGUGCACGAUGGAAGAUGAAUUACAGCUUGUUCAACAUGCUUUGUACAUAUUCAUCAUGGAACUAUAACACCUGGAGCUUUAAGACAUCCAACGCCCUGCUUCUUCAGCUAGGAAUAUCUAACACAUAUUAUAUGAGAAAAUAAUAUUUAUUAAAUUAAUUAAUGGAAAACAUAUGGAACAUUUAUUUUUAUGACAUUGUCUGCAUUGUACUAUAGACACGAUAAGCAUAAAACGCC
Long non-coding RNA from Mercenaria mercenaria, 14243 nucleotides. RefSeq lists it as uncharacterized. The transcript has 4 exons. The record is from RefSeq and is a predicted model, not a curated record. NCBI's taxonomy places the organism in Eukaryota, Metazoa, Mollusca, Bivalvia, Venerida, Veneridae.